UCCUCUUAUUCGAUGAUCAGCAAAAUCGUCCGUGCUGCAUUUGUCGGAGUUGGAGUUUAACGGAUACCGAGCAGCCGAGUGCGGAGCGAGGGCGGUUGGUGAAACGGCAAUCUCACUCAACGUUUGAUCUCCAAGCAACUGUAGCCUCCGAGUUGUUGGAUGCGGCCGAGCCGGUGCUCACUGAUGCCCCGAGGCGCCCCGAGGCGUUCACAACCUUCAUCAUUACACAAGCUUCAUUCCGAGGAAGGACGCCGUGUAGGAAUGAAGAUGAAUCGACCACCUCAUUUGCAUUGGCUGAUCGUCUAGCUAGCAAGCUGCUACUCCAAAGCCCUCCAAAAGGCCGACGGUGAGUAGUUCCCACUCGGACCGCUGAGCCGCCGUCUUUAUCCAAACGGGAGUCUUUUCUUUUCAUGAGCACCUUUUGUCUCAGAGUAAUGUCUGGUAUGCCGGGAUACAAGCUUUGCUCAAUGACCUGAUUUCUAUGGCCUCCGUGUGUGUGCGCGCCCGCAAGCCCUUCCUUUGGAGAAGACAGAGGGCUUAGCCAGGCAGACAGACGCAUCCAGCCAAUCAGGGGGCAGUAAACACAAGAAGCCUUACAUGAGGUAAACAAAAAGGCCUGGCGUUCCCGGAGCGGGAAGAGGCACAUAAUUGGAUUAGGAAAUAUUCUCCAAGGCAAUUACCAUCCCAGAUUGUAAUAAGAGGUCAUUUUUUAAAGGUUUACAUCUUGUCAGAGCAUUGAAAAUCAAUAUUUAUCCAAGAGAUGAUCUCGUUGAAGACACGGGAGGGCUGAAUGGCCAACGUCCUACCUUGUCUCUGGAUGAAAAUCCUCAGCAGGGGGUGAGCGGUGGACACGGCCUUACAGAAGUUGUCGUCGUUGUUGAUGGGCAGCAGAUCGCCGUGGACAUCAGCGUACCCGAUCAUCACCUCCAUGUUGGCGAUGCGGUGGAUGUGCAGGAUGAGUUUGUAGAACUCCUCGAACUUGCCGGGCUUCAGCCGGUCCACCGAGAAGCGGCGGAAUUCCGCCCCAUACUGCGGCGAGGGGAAGGAGGGAAACGGCACAAAUCAAUCAACAGGAAUGAGCAUUGAGUAGCUUAGCUUUACCCUUUAAAAACUUUCAUUUUGUGUAUUAUAUACACACAAUACAAGGGAAUUCAUUGCCAUCUUCAGCAAGCAGCUAAUUAGCUUAGCUUAAUUUUUUUAUUAGGUAUUAAAAGGGAACUCGGGAGGGGAACUUUAAAAAGGGUAACAUGUUCAAACGACAGCGGCAGGCAUUUGUGUCGCCUCCCACGCAUUCACACACAGUUUGUGCUGAUGCUUUCUUUCCCCGGGCGAGGUCAUCAAAGCGCCAAUGAGGCCGCCGCUGAAGGUCACGGCGGGGUCAUCAUGUGACUCAGAUGCAAAAAGGCGAGAGAUACCGCGCCGAGGCCACAAAAGCACGCCCCAAUAAACCAAAACAAGGAACCGUCACAGACAGAGCGAGUGUGAGUGAACGAUACUUUGAGACAUGAACGACUCCUCCAGUCAACUCGUCCCCUCGACAAACAGGUUUGUCAAAGAUAACGUUAUAAAAAGGUUAGUGAAAGUGUUGCUCCAACGUGUUUGAACACGACUCCAACUGGAUGUACUGCUCCGAAAGGUUACACCAUCAGGCGACGUGCUUCAACAAUUAUUGGCUCCUAUUUUAUUGCCGCCUAUCGAUGCGGGAGACAGGAAAUACUACUACAUGCUCAUGUACACAGAUCUCAUCAUGUGUGGUGCCUCCUAUGGCUUGGGUCAAAAUGCUUUGGAAGCUCAUGUUAGCAUUAGCCGUGGCAGUAGACACUCAAUGACGAUAAACAAAAUUGGGUUUUAACGUUACUUUUAAGAAAAGUACAUGAAAAUAAUGCAAUCGACUAAUUUAAUUUCUACUACGUCGCACUCUAUGUGUAUGCUGGUGGCCCCGCCUCCACCCACUGAGAUACCGGAGGACUGACAGAAGAGCUCACUCCGUUCAUGCCAUUGUUCCGUGCUUCCGAGCAAUGCACAGAGUGAACUCUCCUUGAUGGAUGAGGGAAACAGACCUAUAAUGAGGCCGGCAAAAUUAUUGAAUUAAUUUUCUUUUAUUUUCUGUCAUAAAUUAAUUUAUUUAUCAUCAUUCCCAAAGCUGGUGCCCACAAGUUCAUUUUCUGAACUAGAAAUCUCACGAGAUUUGGCGACUCCCCUCGCAAGCAUCCGUGUAAGACAUCGAGAUUUUAGUAAGACGUUUUGGUUGAUGUCAGCCAUGUUUUUCAACUAAUCUUGCUCGUACUGGUGAGUCCCAUACAGGUGUGCACCAAAUUUUAUAGUGGUUGGGUAACGAUGAGUCAUAUCAAAUCUAAUCGAAUCGUUUGUACACUGUACCGAAUCACUAUGUUUAUCUUUUUAACGUAUCCAUCUCCGUUUGCACAUCGAAUCUUCCACCACAAAGGGAUUUACAACCCUGGUAUCAUCUUGUGACGCCCCGAGUACAAACCGAUGCCUUAUCUUUCAGUGAUAUAUCGGACGACAUUGGGGGGGCUGGAUGGUAAUUUGGGGCUUGUUUUGGAAACCCUCAACCGCAGGCUCCAACAAAGUGUUUGGAAAUCUUCUUAAAUCAAAGUGGAGGGAUUGGUGUCAACAUCUCGUCCUACACCCCCCCAGCCCCAAAAAACCAAAACAUCUGGUCCCUGAUAAGAGCAUGAGUGAAACCAGUACCAGUCUCCUCCGACACGUCCUCCCUGAUACUCUUAUCACUAAAAGCACCCUCGUAUCGUCAUGAAGACCAUUAAGAACAUUGAGAAAAGUACUUUGGAUAAACUGUGACGGUGGUGAUCCACACAUGUGAGUGACUCACCUUGCAGGUACAAUACAUUUAACUAAACCCGAAAAUGCAAAUGUGACGUGAAUGGGAGUCAGCUGCAUGUGACGUCAUACUAAAACCUGCCAGAAACCAUUUGGAAGCUAUCUCAAAAAGGUAAUUACUGCUUAUUGGGGCUCGGUUUGAUUCACCUUUUCACACCCAAAUGGACCAAAAGUACUGACAGACACCGUCAGCAAGUUGUUAAAUGUUGAUUUCUUAGAUUUUAGCUGUGAAUCUACUACAGAAAGACUAAUUCCUACAUCUGUUUCACUUGUUUGUCAUUUUAACCACAACAGAGAGACGUUUUAUACACUCCAAAUUGAAGUCCUGGAUGAGUUUCGACAUUUUCUUAACGAAUGUGGGCACCAAAGUGCAACAAAUUGAGUAAAACGGCCACUUUUUUGAGCGGCGAACACUCCUGGUUCAUAUGUGUCUCGUUAAAAGGCAUCAAACAUCCAAUACAAAAUAAUGUUGUGUUCAAAUGCUCACUGCAGACGACCAUGUGUGUGCACUCUUCCUCCGCCUACGUGCACAUCGCACCCACCUUGCUUUUCACCUCCACGGCGUUACAAUCCACGUUUCGCAAGGGUUGCGAUCGGUUAAAGCUCCGGUUCAUUCUGGGAAUAGAACUUUACAAAACAAAAGAGAAGAAAACAGUGCCCUGCAAGAAGGGGGCUCCGGUCGGUGGGGUUUCCAGCAGUAAAGUCCUUCCAAUACAAACGAUCGCGAUUCCCUUUUUUUUUUUAACUCGUUCACCUCGGAAAAGUAUUAUUUUGUCAAAUGUAUUCCACUUUUCAGCUGAAGAAGACCUUCCAGGUUGAAAGGCGGAGAAGAACUAAGCGGUGUGGAGUUUUGGAGGGUUGGUUAAGUUUUGAAAAUGACAUCAGCGCUCCUAAAAAAAACCCGGAGCUUGUGAUGCCUUCAGGGUAGCUUGUUCACUUCGGUAUUACAAUCUAACGUAAAGAGCUGCACAUGAAAAAUCAGCGUUUAGAAUACAAUAUUUUCUAUACAUAUAUGUUUAUUAUUAAAGUACAACUCUUUGGUUUGAAAAAUAUUAAUAUAACUUUUAUAAGUUACAUCCAUCACGUCAUGCUGCUGGAAACCGACGAAUCCCACCUAUUCUUGAAAGCACCAUUAGGUGCAUUGCUUCUCCAGUCCGCUGGGGGCAACAUUUGUAAAAAGAUAACAUUCUCUGUGCUACUUCCGCUGUUUAUGCCAUUAACAAAGUCAACUCAAUACAGGACAAUGUUGCCGAUACUGAUCAAUACAUUUUACUUGAUAUUUUUAAAUCAGUUGAUUGUUUUUGUCAUUUUAAUUUAUCGACUAUCCUUGGUAUCAAUGCCGAUAUUUGCCUCGACUCCCCACAAAAGCUGUAAUGAUAUUAGAUUAGUUAAGCAACAUCGAAUUUCAUGAUUUCUGUGCUUGUUUUGUGAGUAAUAUGACACUGUAUACUUCCAUUUCCAUUUAAAAUCAUGUUGUCUGUCUCAUUAAAAAAGGAGGCAACAUGUUGACGAGCGUCCUGCUUUACGGCAUUCCUGCACAGCAGCUGCAGAUUGCAAAGGAAGCACUUCUAGUUUACUCACUCCUGGAAGUUACUGGACAAAAAGCAGACGCUAAAAUCUCAUGUUUGGGUGUAGGGCGCCUACCUGUGGUCAGUAGUAGUACUGCAUAAACUGUACACAAUUUUAUUGUGUAUUUUAUUAUCAGCUGCCAAUUUCAAAUACAUAUAUAGCACUUAUUUCGUAUUGUACGAAAUAUAUAUUACACUAAAUGUCUGUAUCAUAAUUCAUAAUUUACGACCAUUGAUGAAACGGUUGCAGUUCACUUCCCGAGUCCCUACAAAGACCGACACUCACUUCCGGUCCGACGUAAGGUAAGCUAAUAACGUAACGAGUAUUCUUUUUUGUAAUAUGUCAAAGUUUAAAUACAUAUAACGAUAAAAAAGUUUCCAUAAUUGUCUUACAUUUACUAUCAAAUGUGGUUAAAAUCAUUGCGGUUACUAAAAUGACCAAAUUCGCAACUUUAUAGUGUUGUCCUAUGUAAACUGCCGUAUUUUUCACGACUCAGCCGUGUAAAUGUACAACAACGCAAAAUAGUUCGUUUUUAAUGAAAAGCGAACUUAGUUGUUAGGCGUACUACUUUUUUUUGUUGCUUGCUUGUCUGAUUAAACAAACCUCCACAGUCAACGUGGAGUUUAUUGAGGCCUUACGUCAGACGACGUUAAUUCACAGCAGUGUAUGCUAGCUAGCUACCUCAUGGGAAUAAGCGCCAUAAAAGACGGAUGGAUGCGAGCUACCACUCCUUGAGAAGUGGACUUCAGAGAAGGACAUAAAUUCAAGAAAAAAUUGGCACCCACCUCUUAAGACGUCCCGUCUGCUUUGCUUCAACCCCACACACGUCCCUCCUCAUCCUCACCGGCCCCCUUUUGAUGUGUAAAGAUGGCCCAGACCUCUGGGCUGGUCUGGACUUUGUCUUUUUUUUUUUAAUGGCCCUUUUAGUGAAGUUUGUGUGCCGUCACUCAUGUGUACGCACUCGUGUAAAGAUGCUGCAGUGUUUUUGUACUGGCUGAACGCAUAUUUUAGUCACUGCGUUGUGUUCUCCUCCCUGCAGCAUGAAAACACGAGCCAUCUGGUCUCAGGGGGUGAAAGGUCAAAUCUCAGGCUGGUAAUGAGGAUGGCGUUGCCAGGGGGAUGUAGGAGGGGCAGUUUGUGUGUGUGUGUGAGGCCAAUGGCGACGGGCCUGUCUGCUUCCUAAGUGAGCAUUAAACAUUAACGAGUGUGGACGCAUGAGGAGAUGUUAGAUUAGUGGCAGUGCAAUCCAUUUAUAAAGUGUCUUAUAGCUGGAAAAUCACAAUGGCGAGCCUUUUAAGUUGAAGUAAAUGGAGUUUCGCUCACUUCAUUUCAAGGUCCAUGGAUAUAAUUCAGCAUGUGUGUGGGUUACCAUGGCGAUGCGGGGAAAAUGAGAGGAAUAAUGAAAUUUGCACAUCCUCGCUUGUGAAAGUAAGCCGGCAACCUUCGGGACUGACAAGGUUUUUACUUGUGACAUUAAAGAAGCCACACACUCGGCGGUGACAUCAUCAUCGUGUUGUCACUCACCGCCCACGAUCCGCGGGACAUCCGCCGCGCUCUCAUGGGGACGGCGCAGACAGGACGUCUCUGGCGGGAUUACGGGGUGUUUGCGCAGGGCGUCUCGCACGCCUCCUCGAUUGAAAGAAAACAGCAUCCGUCUCGGUCAGGCCUCCAGGCUGUUAAAUAAACGUCAGUCAGCCAAGCCGUGCGUAGCGGAGAGAGUGAGACCGCAGAAGGCCGCGGCUCAAUCUCAACACAAACACACACUUAUUGACCUUCUCCUGGUGUACAGUGUUGGAGAUCAACAUCUUCCUCUUCUCUCCUCAUUGUUUCUUCUCUACGCUGUCCUGAGUGGUCACUUUCACUCAGCGCCUCCUUCUUGAUAAAAUGUCAACACACAGACCAGACAAUACACCAGAUUGGCUCCAUGAGAAUGAGAAGGAAAAAAGAUUUUAACUUAGAUAGUUCCAUAGAUUCCUUUAUUGUCAUUGCACAGUAACACAGCAGGGAAAUUGUCGACGAAAUGUCGUUGCCUGGCUCCCAUAUAAUAUCAAAAACAAACGAAGGUAAAUAAUAAUAAUAAUGAAAUGACAGCUCAAAGCUGUGUGCACACCGGACACAAUUAACAUGAUUUUGCCCCGCCCAUACUGUUACCCUACCCUGUUACCCCGCCCUGUUUUGCUUUGGAUUAGCAAUGAAGCUAAAGGCUUAUGACGCUGGGUACAAAUAAAUGCAGGAAAUGAUUCGGAAUAAAACGGAAAAUAGAUAAGAUAAAGCAUCUCAUCAAACAUGUUGUGAAGUUACGACAAUGUGAGUACGAUGCUAACUUGCUAAUUGGGUCAAAUGAUUAAGUUUCAUUAAUGUUCAUGUUAAAGGUUAAAUAACUGUUAAUACUGUACAUUUGAAUCUGAAAAAAAUAAUUUCUCUACCAACUGUAUGUGGUUUCUUACGUUUUUCUUAUUUGCUGUUUUAUUAUUAUUUUACUUAUUUAUUACUGAUUGAUUGUAUUGUCUUUAUUCUUAAUUUGUUUAUUUAUUUAUUUUUAUCUUAUUUUGUGUAUAGUGUGUAUAUGUGGAAUGUUUUAUCAGAUAUUUUGGUGUGGAAAACCCGAACCAAAGUACUGAAAAAGUGUAGGGCAGAGGUGCUCAUUAAGUCGAUCGCGAUCUACCGGUCGAUCGCGGAGGUGGUACUGGUCGAUCGCUGGUCGAUCGCGGCGUGACAUUAAAAAAAUAUCAUCCCAGCAUCAAUGCCGUCACUUGAUUGAUAUACAGGGCAGCCAUUCAGAUGACAACUGAAUGUUGCCCUUCG
Doryrhamphus excisus (bluestripe pipefish) is the source of this 7233-nucleotide non-coding RNA. The record is from RefSeq and is a predicted model, not a curated record. Lineage: Eukaryota; Metazoa; Chordata; Actinopteri; Syngnathiformes; Syngnathidae.